This is a non-coding RNA of Terfezia claveryi, 85 nucleotides long. NCBI's taxonomy places the organism in Eukaryota, Fungi, Ascomycota, Pezizomycetes, Pezizales, Pezizaceae. The record is from the annotation of a GenBank genome assembly.
GGCACAGUGGUCUAAUGGUACGACUCUCGCUUCGUAGGUUACCUGCUGAUUUUAGGCAACCUGGGUUCAAUUCCCAGCUGAGCCG